CGGAAGCCCUCGGGGUUCCAUACUCACCUUCCCGCCACGCCGCCUUCUCAGGAGGCUGGCCCCCCUUGGUAAAAUCAUAAGUGACCAAAAAUAAGUGUCUGACUCGUUUUUCUAGUCGUAAGUUGGGUGAGGGUCACCACCGCGCCCAGCUCCUAACCACGUUCUUUAGUGGCAAGAGGAAAGAAGGAUGCCACCCGUUUCAAGGAUGCUCGAGGGAGCCCCAGAGGAACUAACGGUCUUCAGGAUUGCUGCAGGUUCUUUUUCUCUCAGCUCUGCAGGCAAGAAGCCCAACUCGGGACCAGUGAAAAGGGGAGCACUCCCGGCCAGGUGUCCUCGUGUGCCACGGCGGCGCCCACACUCGUCCACCUCUUAAGGUACCUCUCCGGUAUCCACAGCUCUAACUGGAGGUGGUGAUGGUGCCUGCCACGAAGGUCAUUGGAGGAUUGAGUGAAUUGCUAUCAGGAAACGUGCAUGACUCGGAAAAGUGCCUGCUUGUUAACUAGGCAUCAUUGUUGACUAAGUUAUCUUGGGUGUUUACAAAAGAACAAAAGGGUUAGUGAAGAGGAGUUAAGUCAGCUCUGUGGAAGGAAACUUUCUAUUACAGCAGGUCUGGAGAGUUUAUUCCAUCCAUCUCAAAUAGGAUAUUUCUAAAGUCAGAAAUAGACUAGGCCUACGGGUAACCGGAAAAAAAAAAAAAAAACGGAAAACAGAAAAACCAGACCUGAUGUCAUGGAGGUCAGAGUGGAGAUGGAGGAAUGCAACAGAUGCCAGCAAUGCAAUGUGUACACUCUGAUAUGGGACCUCAGUGAAGUUACAGACCCACCAUCAGAGAGCAUUAAGAGGGGAAAUGACAUUACAGACACAACCGUAUAAGAGAACAGAAAGGAGAGAUGCUAAGAGAAAAGAGACUAGUUCAGACCACAUUGCUCCACGUGCUGGCUCUUGAACCCUGGAAAUAUGGCUAAUCUUAAUCAAGACAUGCUGCACUUUUAAAAGGUCUGAUGCACAUGAGAAGGAGGUAAUCUCGUUUAUCUCAUAUUGAUUACAUGUUGAAAUGACAAAAUUUGAUA
Molecule: long non-coding RNA, 1070 nt
Organism: Phacochoerus africanus (Common warthog)
Lineage: Eukaryota; Metazoa; Chordata; Mammalia; Artiodactyla; Suidae
Exons: 3
Source: RefSeq, a predicted model, not a curated record